Small nuclear RNA from Vulpes vulpes (red fox), 107 nucleotides. Lineage: Eukaryota; Metazoa; Chordata; Mammalia; Carnivora; Canidae. The record is from Ensembl.
GUGUUUAUUUGGGCAGCACAUGUAGUAAAAUUGAAAUAAUAAAGAGAAGAUUAACAUGGCCCCUGUGCAAGGAUGACAUGCAAAUUCAUGAAGUGUUCCAUAUUAAA